UAAGGUCUAACCUGCCCAAUGAGGAUUUAAAUGGCCGCAGUAUUUUGACUGUGCAAAGGUAGCAUAAUUAUUAGUUUUUUAAUUGAAAGCUUGUAUGAAGGGUUGGACGAGAUAAAAUCUGUCUUUAUUUAAAUUAAUAUGGAAUUUAACUUUUAAGUCAAAAGGCUUAAAUGUAUAUAAAAGACGAGAAGACCCUAUAGAUCUUUAUUUAAUUAAUAUUUUAAUAAUUUAGGAUUAUUUUAGUUUAAAGUUUUAAUUAAAUUUUAUUGGGGUAAUAUAAAGAUUAAAUAAAUUCUUUUUAUUUAUUACAUUGAUUUAUGAAUUUGUGAUCCAAUAUUAUUGAUUAUAAGAUUAAGUUACCUUAGGGAUAACAGCGUAAUUUUUUUGGAGAGCUCAUAUCGAUAAAAAAGUUUGCGACCUCGAUGUUGGAUUAAAAAUUAGCUUGGGUGCAGAAGCUCAAGAUUUGGUCUGUUCGACCAUUAAAUUUUUACAUGAUCUGAGUUCAGACCGGCGUAAGCCAGGUCGGUUUCUAUCUUUAUUUAAUUAGAAUAUUUUAGUACGAAAGGACCAAAUAUUUAAUAUAUUAAUAUUUUAUUUUUGAAUAAUAUUAUUACUUUGGCAGAAUAGUGCAAUGAAUUUAGAAUUCAUAAAUGUAAUUUUAUUACAAGUAAUACUUGUAUUUAGGAGAUUUAUUACUAACGGUAUUAUGUAUAUUAAUUCUUGUAAUUUGUGUAUUAGUGGGGGUAGCUUUUUUAACUUUAUUAGAACGAAAGGUGUUAGGGUAUAUUCAAAUUCGUAAGGNCCCAAAUAAGU
This 813-nucleotide ribosomal RNA is filed under the name Cylindera cinctipennis. Its description in RNAcentral is "partial large subunit ribosomal RNA". The stretch from base 1 to 560 matches the Rfam family "Bacterial large subunit ribosomal RNA", at positions 1846 to 2925 of the family's 2925-position model. Lineage: Eukaryota; Metazoa; Arthropoda; Insecta; Coleoptera; Carabidae. The record is from RNAcentral.